GGCAGGGUAGCCUAGUGGUUAGAGUGUAGAGGUGGCAGGUAGCCUAGUGGUUAGAGUGUAGGGGUGGCAGGUAGCCUAGUGGUUAGAGUGUAGAGGUGGCAGGUAGCCUAGUGGUUAGAGUGUAGAGGCGGCAGGGUAGCCUAGUGGUUAGAGUGUAGAGGUGGCAGGUAGCCUAGUGGUUAGAGUGUAGUGGUGGCAGGUAGCCUAGUGGUUAGAGUGUAGAGGUGGCAGGUAGCCUAGGGGUUAGAGUGUAGAGGUGGCAGGUAGCCUAGUGGUUAGAGUGUAGAGGUGGCAGGUAGCCUAGUGGUUAGAGUGUAGAGGUGGCAGGUAGCCUAGUGGUUAGAGUGUAGAGGUGGCAGGUAGCCUAGUGGUUAGAGUGUAGAGGUGGCAGGUAGCCUAGUGGUUAGAGCAUUGG
Oncorhynchus tshawytscha (Chinook salmon) is the source of this 415-nucleotide long non-coding RNA. NCBI's taxonomy places the organism in Eukaryota, Metazoa, Chordata, Actinopteri, Salmoniformes, Salmonidae. The record is from Ensembl.